GGUUGUGGCUCAGUGGUACAGCACAUGACUGGCAUGCAUGAGGCCCUGGGUUUGAUCCUCAGCACCA
This 67-nucleotide transfer RNA is filed under the name Marmota monax (woodchuck). RNAcentral's name for it is "tRNA.Ala". It matches the Rfam family "tRNA". Rfam says of the family: Transfer RNA (tRNA) molecules are approximately 80 nucleotides in length. Their secondary structure includes four short double-helical elements and three loops (D, anti-codon, and T loops). The record is from RNAcentral. Lineage: Eukaryota; Metazoa; Chordata; Mammalia; Rodentia; Sciuridae.